UGGGGGAUUUUGCACAAUGGGCGCAAGCCUGAUGCAGCGACGCCGCGUGAGGGAUGAAGGCCUUCGGGUUGUAAACCUCUUUCGCUGGGUUGAAAGGCCAUGCUUUGGGUGUGGUUGAUUUGAACUGGUAAAGAAGUACCGGCUAACUACGUGCCAGCAGCCGCGGUAAUACGUAGGGUACUAGCGUUGUCCGGAUUUAUUGGGCGUAAAGGGCUUGUAGGUGGUUUGUCGCGUCUGUCGUGAAAUCCUGUGGCUUAACCAUGGGCUUGCGGUGGGUACGGGCAGGCUUGAGUGCGGUAGGGGAGACUGGAAUUCCUGGUGUAGCGGUGGAAUGCGCAGAUAUCAGGAGGAACACCGGUGGCGAAGGCGGGUCGCUGGGCCGUUACUGACACUGAGGAGCGGAAGCGUGGGGAGCGAACAGG
Molecule: ribosomal RNA, 422 nt
Filed under: Fusobacteriota bacterium
Lineage: Bacteria; Fusobacteriati; Fusobacteriota
Description: Fusobacteria bacterium partial 16S ribosomal RNA
Rfam family: Bacterial small subunit ribosomal RNA
Source: RNAcentral